This 617-nucleotide ribosomal RNA is filed under the name uncultured bacterium. RNAcentral describes it as "bacterial SSU rRNA". It matches the Rfam family "Bacterial small subunit ribosomal RNA", at positions 338 to 948 of the family's 1533-position model. The record is from RNAcentral.
CCUACGGGAGUCAGCAGUGGGGAAUUUUGGACAAUGGGCGCAAGCCUGAUCCAGCCAUGCCGCGUGCGGGAAGAAGGCCUUCGGGUUGUAAACCGCUUUUGUCAGGGAAGAAAAGGUUCUGGCUAAUACCUGGGACUCAUGACGGUACCUGAAGAAUAAGCACCGGCUAACUACGUGCCAGCAGCCGCGGUAAUACGUAGGGUGCAAGCGUUAAUCGGAAUUACUGGGCGUAAAGCGUGCGCAGGCGGUUAUGCAAGACAGAGGUGAAAUCCCCGGGCUCAACCUGGGAACUGCCUUUGUGACUGCAUAGCUAGAGUACGGUAGAGGGGGAUGGAAUUCCGCGUGUAGCAGUGAAAUGCGUAGAUAUGCGGAGGAACACCGAUGGCGAAGGCAAUCCCCUGGACCUGUACUGACGCUCAUGCACGAAAGCGUGGGGAGCAAACAGGAUUAGAUACCCUGGUAGUCCACGCCCUAAACGAUGUCAACUGGUUGUUGGGAGGGUUUCUUCUCAGUAACGUAGCUAACGCGUGAAGUUGACCGCCUGGGGAGUACGGCCGCAAGGUUGAAACUUAAUGAAUUGACCGGNUGNGAGNGCGAGACGACGACGAGGGAGGAGG